Molecule: long non-coding RNA, 1039 nt
Organism: Serinus canaria (Common canary)
Lineage: Eukaryota; Metazoa; Chordata; Aves; Passeriformes; Fringillidae
Exons: 3
Source: RefSeq, a predicted model, not a curated record
AGCGUUCAGGCUACAGUAGUAGAAAGGAGCAAGAGCACUACAGUUUCCCCUCUGGCUGCCAGCAAACCACCUUAGGAUUCAUUCUGAAUGCUUCAGCACGGACACAACUGGCCUGACAUCCCCAUGACUAAACUCCAUAUCUCACUGCUAAGAUGGACAACACUUUCCUACUGCAUAAAUUUAAUUUUUCACCGAUGAGGAAAAUGUCUCAUCUGCCAGAGGAAUGGCAUUGUAGAAAGAUAUUUGUCCUGGUAUAAUUUUUAGGUUUCUGAUUCAGAGCAUGAAACUUGAUUCAAAACAGGAUUAAAACCUAGAUGAAAAUCAUCAUAAACUAUGGUCCUCUGGACUGGUGAAGAAAGGCUACAAGAAACAGUUUGACCCUGAACAGAACUCCUUGACCUGGAAGAUGCAGCUGAUGGAGAACCUGCCUCUCAUGUGUACUUCUGGAGAACAAUGAGCUAUUCACUUCUGCUGUGCUGCAAGGCUUAUUCACUUUAUGGUCAAUUCUCAAAUGUCUGUGAGAAGAUUAUCUGGGUUAUGUAUUAUAUGUGUCAUGCUUUAAAAAAAAAGAAAAUCCUUUUCUGACCUCAUUCCAUGCUUAUAGUCUCAUUCUUAAAAGGUAAAUAUACUAAACAGAAUGUGCUAGCAUUUACUAUAUUGGGGGCGUUUAUCUAUACUUAACUCUAUUUGGGGAUCCUGUCCCCUCCUGUCACUGUUCUUGCCAACAUGGCAGCAAUUUAUUCUUGAAAUCUGCUGCUACAGAGUUACAGAGGGUUUGGUAUCUCAAGUACUGUGAACCCCUACAAUACUGUAAAAGUCAUUGGGAUUUGGGAUGGCUUGUUCUUGACCACUCUUUGCCCUCCCCACUGUGUAAUUCAUUCCUGCUAUUCUCUUUUUUCCUAUUCUUUGUACCUCUGAGCAAUUGAUUUCUUUUGAUAGGAGGUUUGAUUGAUGCUGUCUUGGCUAGAUAUCAGCUUUUUUAAUUUAUUUUCAGAGCUUUGUACUGUGGUAAUUGUGUAACAUUUGAAUAUUAUAGGUG